AGUUACUGCAAAAAUCAAGAUAUAUCUUCAAAUGGGCUCUUCCUGCAUAUACUCAUUGAUCAAACUGACAGCUUCUAUUCAGUUGCUCCUACAACAGUGAGAAGAAUUACAGAUAAUUCCUGACCUUGACUAUAUGGACUUCAGAAGUUAAUCUCUGCUGGCAUCAUUUCCCAAGGAAUAUUGCCACCAUCAGUUCCAAUGUGAUACAUAUUUGUAUAAAGAAGAUAGUUCCAACUGCUUAGAAGAACACCAAACAUUGAGUAUGGGGAAGAGAGGGAGAAUCAUUGUCCCCAGUCCAGAGUAUGAAAGACAGCCCACAGUCCGACAGGAGACCGUGAUGUUCUUCAACGAACAGAGCUGUGCACCUGGAGUCCAGCAAGCAAAAAACAGAAGAUGCAGGAGGGUCAGGGCGACUGGAACCGGCCAUGCAAAGACUUAUAACACUUGGACAGUUGCCUGGAUUUAAUUCUAUGGUUUUAUUUAGGAAUGCAUAAUCUGAUAUUUGCCUAUAGAAGAUCACUCUUUCUGCUGUGUAAAGAACGGACCAUAGCCAAUUGAGACUGAAAGCAAGAAACCCAGGGAGGAGGAUGUUACUGUGGCCUAGGCAAAACAUGUAGUGACUAGACCUGAGAAGGGUGGUCCUGGAGGUGGCAAGUUCAGUGUGGAAGAUAGGGCUAACAGCCUGGCUGAUGGGUUGGGAGGAAUUAAGGAUGCUUUCAAGGGUCUGGGCUAGAACAAGUGUAUGCAUCCCUCUCUGGGCAACAUUGUCGUCUAGGGAAAAUUACAUGAUCAUGAGAAGUGCCGCAAAAGAUAAAAGCUACAACCUUCAAAUAAAAGCUAUAAUUCUAUUCUUUAAA
Macaca mulatta (Rhesus monkey) is the source of this 857-nucleotide non-coding RNA. NCBI's taxonomy places the organism in Eukaryota, Metazoa, Chordata, Mammalia, Primates, Cercopithecidae. The record is from RefSeq and is a predicted model, not a curated record.